AGGAUCAACGCUGGCGGCGUGCAUGAGACAUGCAAGUCGAACGGACACUCGGGGCUUGCUCUGAGUGUUAGUGGCGGACGGCUGAGUAACGCGUAGGUGACCUGCCCCGAAGUGGGGAAUAACUGCCCGAAAGGGUGGCUAAUACCGCAUGUGGUGAUGCGUUCAUUCGCAUCAGUAAAGCCGCAAGGCGCUUCGGGAGGGCCUGCGUCCGAUUAGCUCGUUGGUGAGGUAACGGC
RNAcentral lists this ribosomal RNA (236 nucleotides) under uncultured soil bacterium. RNAcentral's name for it is "partial 16S ribosomal RNA". It matches the Rfam family "Bacterial small subunit ribosomal RNA", at positions 26 to 264 of the family's 1533-position model. The record is from RNAcentral.